Molecule: long non-coding RNA, 614 nt
Organism: Mercenaria mercenaria
Lineage: Eukaryota; Metazoa; Mollusca; Bivalvia; Venerida; Veneridae
Exons: 4
Source: RefSeq, a predicted model, not a curated record
ACCGGUGUAGCGUGAUUAUCACACGGUCGUGACCAGGCAAAUAUCUGUUAUCGGUGUAAUUACACCUUUGGAGAAAAGCGUGAUUCGCACGUUUUAAUUUCAUCAUUCGCCGCCUGAAGAGACAAGAUGGCGGAGCUUGCGAAAUCGAAAAUUGGUACUUGAAAGUCAAUGGUUGAUCAUGAUGACCAUCUUUUAUUUAAUGGAGAAAGAAACCAAUAUUUGCAGCUGGACAGGUUGUCACCACAGUUCAAGGAUUUAGGUCAGACAUCAGCUUUUGAAGUUGCUUUCUUGGCACAUCAUGCUGUCCAGUGGAGUUCAUACCAUAUGCCAGGCCUUUAUACAUGGUCAAAGAAGAUGAAUUUGUUAUUCAAUUUGUGAAAUUUGAUUUAGCGAGGACUUUCAUAUAUGAUGAUUAUAUUCAGCAGAUUAUCUUCAAGUGUGCACUUUCUAGAAUCACAGUUUCUAGGAGGUUUUCAGUUUAAAGUUAGAUUAAUUGAAAAAUAAGGGGAGCUAUCAUACUCACCAUGGUAUCGACACUGGCAUUACACCAGGUUUAAGUUUUUCUUACCAGUCCAUAUUUUAAAAGGACCUUUUGACAGUAUUGAAACUUACAA